CCCGCUCAGAAACUUAAAGGAAGUUAGAGGGGCCCGCGCAAGCGGAGGAGCAUGUGGUUUAACUCGAUGAUACGCGAGGAACCUUACCUGGGCUCGAACGUAAGAUGACUGUAGGUGAAAGCUUACAUCUCUUCGGAGCAUUUUACGAGGUGCUGCAUGGUUGUCGUCAGCUCGUGCCGUGAGGUGUCGGGUUAAGUCCCAUAACGAGCGCAACCCCUACCUUUAGUUGCCAUCAGGUUAAGCUGGGGACUCUAAAGGAACUGCCUACGCAAGUAGUGAGGAAGGCGGGGAUGACGUCAAAUCAGCACGGCCCUUACGUCCAGGGCUACACACGUGCUACAAUGGCCGAUACAGAGGGCAGCUACCUGGUGACAGGAUGCAAAUCUCCAAAGUCGGUCUCAGUUCGGAUCGGAGUCUGCAACCCGACUCCGUGAAGUUGGAUUCGCUAGUAAUCGCGCAUCAGCCAUGGCGCGGUGAAUACGUUCCCGGGCCUU
Molecule: ribosomal RNA, 494 nt
Filed under: uncultured Sphingobacteriales bacterium
Lineage: Bacteria; Pseudomonadati; Bacteroidota; Sphingobacteriia; Sphingobacteriales
Description: bacterial SSU rRNA
Rfam family: Bacterial small subunit ribosomal RNA
Source: RNAcentral